GACGAACGCUGGCGGCGUGCCUAAUACAUGCAAGUAGAACGCACAGUUUAUACCGUAGCUUGCUACACCAUAGACUGUGAGUUGCGAACGGGUGAGUAACGCGUAGGUAACCUGCCUGGUAGCGGGGGAUAACUACUGGAAACGAUAGCUAAUACCGCAUAAUAUUGAUUAUUGCAUGAUAAUUGAUUGAAAGAUGCUAUUGCAUCACUACCAGAUGGACCUGCGUUGUAUUAGCUAGUAGGUGAGGUAACGGCUCACCUAGGCGACGAUACAUAGCCGACCUGGGAGGCUGAUCGGCCACACUGGGACUGAGACACGGCCCAGACUCCUACGGGAGGCAGCAGUAGGGAAUCUUCGGCAAUGGACGAAAGUCUGACCGAGCAACGCCGCGUGAGUGAAGAAGGUUUUCGGAUCGUAAAGCUCUGUUGUAAGAGAAGAACGGGUGUGAGAGUGGGAAGUUCACACUGUGACGGUAUCUUACCAGAAAGGGACGGCUAACUACGUG
Molecule: ribosomal RNA, 505 nt
Filed under: uncultured bacterium
Lineage: Bacteria
Description: partial 16S ribosomal RNA
Rfam family: Bacterial small subunit ribosomal RNA
Source: RNAcentral